Molecule: long non-coding RNA, 1260 nt
Organism: Daucus carota subsp. sativus
Lineage: Eukaryota; Viridiplantae; Streptophyta; Magnoliopsida; Apiales; Apiaceae
Exons: 8
Source: RefSeq, a predicted model, not a curated record
CAGAUUAAAAUAAAAACCUCCCGACACACUCUCUCAGCUCAAGAACCCUAGAAAUAGGGCGACAUCAAUUCCACCGCGUUCACCAUCUCCGUCCGAGUUCAGGCGCUUCAAGAGCUGUACAACCUCGAUUCCGCCCCUACUUUUUCAGUCCCGAUCUCUUUCCCCGUGCAUCUUGCUGCUAACUGCUCUAUUUCGAGUGCUCGAAGCUUGAGAUUAAUCAGUCGAUUGGAAGCUUAUUUCUUGGGUUGGAUGAACAAGAGGAUUUCCACCCGAAAGAAAGGAGGAAAGAAGAAGGCGUAUGUAUGUAGAUGGUGUUUAAUUGAGUUGAUGUAGAUGAGUUGUAGUUGAUUCAUUUUAGGUCUCGUAUCAGGGCUUUCUUAUGUUCGUGGCGCUGGAUUUAGAAAUGUUCUUGUAACUGGGACUGAUGCACUUUCUCUUUAUGUUGUUUGGACUGAUAGAGGCACUUGCAUCCACUUCGGGGAUGUUGCUGCCUGCUGGUGCUGCAUUGCUGCAGGAUGACAUCAAAAGUCUGGCAGAACGGUUUCUUGAAUGUGUUGUUUCUAAUCAUCAAGUUAGUAGAGACAAAAACAUAUUGCAGGCUCAUAUCUCUGUGCUGGUGUUCAGCUUCACUUCUUAAUCAGAAAGUUGAUAGGGUGGGAUCUCUCCUCCUUGCACAAAAACAUCUGAAGUUCAUGUGUAAUGAAAAAAAAGCAGACUCUGUGUAUUCUGUUGUGUGGAAGCUAAAAAAAGCAUUCGAGGAGAAUGUGAUAUCAAAUAUUUCGAAGAGUAACAUAUCGGGAGUUGGAAAGUCCUUGUUCACAUAUUCUCACUUGCAUUCACUUUGGAAUUAAUCUAAUGCUUUUUACGAUUUUUUUCUCUAGAGUUCCCAACAUCAAGUUCAAUGUAGCAAAGGUCUUACAAUCUCUUAUACCUAUUCUGGAUCAAUCUAAUGAUCAGAGCCAAGAGCCAUGAGCUUCUGGUGAUGGUACAAAAAUACUUUUUCAGUAUUUUUGUAUUAUGAAACAGAAGUGUACUCCUUCCCUUUUGAUGAGCUAGUCUAUAUAUAAUUAAUCAGGUGCCAGAUUAUUAUGAUAAUCAGGUCGAUUUUCAGCCAAUUAUCAACGAUCACCAUGCUAAUAAGGAAAGCGACAAUCACAGGGUCCAAAAAGCAAUCUGUGUAGCCGAGGAAAUUAUAAUGCACAGAGUUAGUUUCAACAAUGAAUUAUCUAUCUAGUUAUUUUGAUUGUUUUUGAAUUGUCG